Molecule: long non-coding RNA, 339 nt
Filed under: Limulus polyphemus (Atlantic horseshoe crab)
Lineage: Eukaryota; Metazoa; Arthropoda; Merostomata; Xiphosura; Limulidae
Description: uncharacterized LOC111087385, transcript variant X4
Source: RNAcentral
UCUAUUUUGAACAGGUGGAAAGACGGGCUGGGAUUUUGGUCUCUUUAUCUUUGUAUGUUCAGUACAUAUUAACAUUUUAACUUUAUUUCAGAUAAUCAAUCAACUCUGGAUAUACCCAAGCAAUCUGUUCAUGACACCUAGGUUAAAGUAAAAAGUUUCCCAAAGGUCCAGAGAAAAAGGAAGUUUGUAAAAGAUAAGAAGGAUCUAAUGAAGAGGCACAAAGGCUGGGAGCCCAGACUUUAGAACAUGGUGUACAACAAUCAAGCUGUGAAAAUUUGAAGACAAAUCUAAAGAGGUCCAUAUCUCCAGAGCAACCACAAAAUGAUUAGUUUGAACAUG